GUCUCCAUAGCUCAGUGGUAGAGCAUGCGAUUGCAGAUCGCAGGGUCAGGUGUUCGAACCACCUUGGGGACU
RNAcentral lists this transfer RNA (72 nucleotides) under Laccaria bicolor S238N-H82. RNAcentral's name for it is "tRNA-Cys (GCA) (tRNA-Cys-GCA-2-1)". It matches the Rfam family "tRNA". Rfam says of the family: Transfer RNA (tRNA) molecules are approximately 80 nucleotides in length. Their secondary structure includes four short double-helical elements and three loops (D, anti-codon, and T loops). The record is from RNAcentral. Lineage: Eukaryota; Fungi; Basidiomycota; Agaricomycetes; Agaricales; Hydnangiaceae.